This 324-nucleotide ribosomal RNA is filed under the name Allapsidae sp. RNAcentral describes it as "SSU rRNA". The stretch from base 59 to 324 matches the Rfam family "Eukaryotic small subunit ribosomal RNA", at positions 691 to 955 of the family's 1831-position model. Lineage: Eukaryota; Cercozoa; Glissomonadida; Viridiraptoridae. The record is from RNAcentral.
GAUUUCUGACUUGGCGCACCUGGCCCGCCACGGUUACGUGUGUGAGUGCCGGGAUGCGCCUGUCACUUUUCUGGUAAACUAUUGUGCCCUUCAUUGGGUAUGAUAGGUAGCCAGAUAUUUUACUUUGAAAAAAUUAGAGUGUUUAAAGCAGGCGUUGCAAGCUAUGAAUACAUUAGCAUGGAAUAAUAAGUUAGGACUUCGGUUCUAUUUUGUUGGUUUCUAGGACCGAAGUAAUGAUUGAUAGGGAUAGUUGGGGGUGCUAGUAUUCAGCGGCCAGAGGUGAAAUUCUCGGAUUCGCUGAAGACUAACUUAUGCGAAAGCAUU